This 430-nucleotide unclassified non-coding RNA is filed under the name soil metagenome. RNAcentral describes it as "partial contains 5.8S ribosomal RNA, internal transcribed spacer 2, and large subunit ribosomal RNA". The stretch from base 1 to 120 matches the Rfam family "5.8S ribosomal RNA", at positions 35 to 154 of the family's 154-position model. The record is from RNAcentral.
GAUGAAGAACGUAGCGAAAUGCGAUACGUAAUGUGAAUUCCAGAAUUCAGUGAAUCAUCGAAUCUUUGAACGCAUAUUGCGCUCUCUGGUAUUCCGGAGAGCAUGCUUGUUUGAGUAUCAGUAAGCACCUCAACUCCCUUUUCUUUUUUGAAAUUGGAGCUGGACUUGAGUGAUCCCAACGCUUUCUUCCAAGAAAGUGGCGGGUUGCUUGAAAUGCAGGUGCAGCUGAACUUUUCUCUGAGCUAUAAGCAUAUCUAUUUAGUCUGCCUAAAAAACAGAUUAUUACCUUUGCUGCAGCUAACAUAAAGGAGACUAGUUCUUGUGCUGACUGAUGCAGGAUUCACAGAGACAGCUUCGGCUGACUUUGUAAACUCGAUCUCAAAUCAAGUAAGACUACCCGCUGAACUUAAGCAUAUCAAUAAGCGGAGGA